GGUCCUGUGUAGCGCCAUUGGUCGAGCACGACAUUCACACUGCCAGGGUUAAGGGUUCGAUUCCCACCGCGACCA
Molecule: non-coding RNA, 75 nt
Organism: Merluccius polli (Benguela hake)
Lineage: Eukaryota; Metazoa; Chordata; Actinopteri; Gadiformes; Merlucciidae
Source: the annotation of a GenBank genome assembly